This 1330-nucleotide long non-coding RNA is filed under the name Sus scrofa (pig). RNAcentral's name for it is "lncRNA (ENSSSCG00035079283.1)". The record is from RNAcentral. Lineage: Eukaryota; Metazoa; Chordata; Mammalia; Artiodactyla; Suidae.
AUGAACUUGGGAAGCAGCCUGUUUGUAUCAGAGAAAAACAAGAAUGCCAAAGAGAUGGAGACUGGUAACAAGACUCUGAGAGACAGUUUGAACCUGGAAGAAGAUGCUGCGUCCUAUUGUGAUCUCUUUUGGAAUUCUUUGGGAAGUCAAAGAAGUCUGAGAGCAGUGGCUGUUGUGUCUCCAGAUACUGUAAGUAUGAAAGAAAGUACUGGGGAGAGGGCAAGGUGUAGUUACCAAAGAAUCAGGCAGGAUGCCCUCCAAAUGGGACAGAGACUAGAACAAGGCAGAAAAAUUGAAGCAGGCACUCACUCUCAGCACUGGGCAAUGUAAGGUCAGCAUGUCUUAACGUUAGCCCUGGGUGUUUCUUCUGCCUCACCCUUGUCCAGCCCUGCCUUCAGGUAAGAAUGACCUCUAAUGAACACUCUGUUUGUUUGUUUGUUUGUUUUGGGCCACACCUGUGGCAUCCAGGAUUCCAGGGCCAGGAAUGGAACCUGUACCACAGCAGCAACCUGAGCCACAGUAGUGACAGAUGAUGCCAGAUCCUUAACCCGCUGCACCACCAGGGAACUCCUCUAAUGGACACUCUUAUCUCCUCAAAUUCACUUCUGUUGCUAUAUGCCUGCUUUUCGGUUCUGACCUGUAUAUUUUAUUAAUUUUACUUGAAGAGCUAUAAUUUUAACCAUAAUCCUGAUGAAAACACAAUCACAGAAAAAAGAUAUUUUCUAUUCUUCAUACCCAGGCAUUUAAUUUUUUACAAUGUUAACUCCAAAUUAGUGAGGACCUAUGUGCCUAAAGUUAGAGAUAUUUUACAUAUAUUAUGUUUAACAUGCACUAAGAAAUUCUUUAGUCUAUGCAUCUGUAGCCCACUUAGCAGAUGAGUCCCAGAGAGAGUAAAGGACUGGUCCCCAACCUGAAAGAAGACAGGGCCACUCCCACAAGAGUGCCACAUCUGCCCUCACUUCCCGUACUCACUUCAGGCCUUAAAAUCCCUGAUUUUCUUGUUUUAAUUCCCUUAAUCACUACAAAUUCUGCCUCUUCAUCUCCAAGUCAGGUUUUUCUUACUUGAUUAUAAGAUUUUACUAUUGCUUUGCUUUUGUGGUUUCUUCCUCUUUCCCAGCUUAAAAAAAAAAAAAAAAUUCAUUGAGUUUCAGAGUAGAUCAGUAUGUCAAGUUUUCUCAAAACAUUCUUUAAAGUCAUUUUCUGACUUAAAUGUCUAGAGGGCAGAGCUAAAUGGGGCCACCAGGUAAGAAAGCAGGACGGCUCCACACACUUACAGAGGCUGAGGAAGGAGAAAUGGAAAGGAAAAAUCUUAUUAGGCUUUGUAGGUCAG